Non-coding RNA from Brachypodium distachyon (stiff brome), 125 nucleotides. NCBI's taxonomy places the organism in Eukaryota, Viridiplantae, Streptophyta, Magnoliopsida, Poales, Poaceae. The record is from Rfam.
CAACUACUCCCUCUGAUCCAUAUUAAUUGUCUCAAAUUUGCCUAAAUAUGAAUGUAUCCAUACCUAAAAAGCGUCUAGAUACAUGUAAUGUUUCGACAAUUAAUAUGGAUCAGAGGGAGUACAUC